AAUAGCCUAACGGCUGAACCAGCAAUUUGGAAGAAUGUAUAGCGAAAGGCUAUUGCAUAAAGUUAUGCAAUAUUAAUUGAGUUAAAUAAAGUUCUGAGUAUAUCUAGAUGAUGACUUAAUAUACUCACGUGUCUUGACCAAAUUGCGUGCCAGCAGUCGCGGUAAGACGUAUAAGACUAGUGUUAUUCAUCUUUAGCAGGUUUAAAGGGUACUUAGACAGCGAAUCAAGCCGUAGUAGGAACUAGUUUGCUAGGGUUACUUGUGAGGGGGCUUGAAAGUACUAGUGGAGUAGAGAUAAAAUGUUACUAUACCUUAUUUCGAGAGAAAUGGAAUGGCACUGAUAAAGGCGAAAGCAUCCCCUUAUGUGAUAACUGACGUUAAAGGACGAAGGCUUUGGAUCGCGAACAGGAUUAGAUACCCUGGUAGUCAAAGCAGAGAAUGAUGAGUGUCAUAGAUUAGAUUGAGUUUAGUCUAUAAAUGAAAGUGUAAACACUCCACCUUAAGAGUAAUGUGGCAACACCGAAAUUGAAAUCAUUAGACCGUUUCUGAAACCAGUAGUGAAGUAUGUUGUUUAAUUUGAUGAUCCGCAAAAAACCUUACCACAACUUGAAUAUUUAUAUUUAUAUAUUUACAAGCGUUGCACGGCUGUCUUAAGUUAAUGUCGUGAGAAUUUGGUUAGAUCCAUUAAAUUGACGUAAACCCUCGUUCUACUUUCAUGUGGAGCGGUUCACCACUAUAUUGGAUAUGAUUAUAGGGAACAAGACAAGUCAUCAUGGCCUAAAUGUUGUGGGCUAUAGACGUGCAUGCUCAUUCCAUUACAAAGGG
Molecule: ribosomal RNA, 825 nt
Filed under: Bacidia sp.
Lineage: Eukaryota; Fungi; Ascomycota; Lecanoromycetes; Lecanorales; Ramalinaceae
Description: SSU rRNA
Rfam family: Bacterial small subunit ribosomal RNA
Source: RNAcentral